GCACGCUAGACGGGGAGCCAGCGGUGCCCUGUAACCCGCAAUCCGCUCAAGCGGGGUCGAACAUCUGUCCGAGGCGUCCUCAGUCGCGGCAGGCGAGCCGGAGAAGUGGUGUCGAGGGUCAGGUCCCGCGCAAUCGGACCCGGUGAAUCCGGUCAGGGCCGGGAGGCAGCAGCCGUAAGCCGCCAGUUCGAUGUGCCGCGGGGACGCUUGGCCGGAGCCAACUGGCCGGCGACCCUCCGCGUCGAGGCGUCGAGACAGACGCGUGC
Molecule: signal recognition particle RNA, 266 nt
Filed under: Candidatus Effluviviaceae Genus V sp.
Lineage: Bacteria; Candidatus Effluviviacota; Candidatus Effluviviaceae
Description: signal recognition particle sRNA large type
Rfam family: Bacterial large signal recognition particle RNA
About the family: The signal recognition particle (SRP) is a universally conserved ribonucleoprotein involved in the co-translational targeting of proteins to membranes. Archaeal SRP consists of a 7S RNA and homologues of the eukaryotic SRP19 and SRP54 proteins.
Source: RNAcentral